Rhagoletis zephyria (snowberry fruit fly) is the source of this 853-nucleotide long non-coding RNA. RefSeq lists it as uncharacterized. NCBI's taxonomy places the organism in Eukaryota, Metazoa, Arthropoda, Insecta, Diptera, Tephritidae. The record is from RefSeq and is a predicted model, not a curated record.
CCUUAGCGCAACAAUAUAAAACAUCAGUUUCUCUUAAUUCCAAUUAACAGCAAAUUUGCUUAAUUUGUGCCAACUGAGUUGAAUGUAAAUUGCGUAAAUUAUCUUUUCACGGUUGUACACUCAAGAAUUGAUGCGUUUUUAAAAACAGACAUUUUCGGUCAGGAACAAUAUUUGCAUCCGCUGCAUUUGCAUCAGUUGUUGUAGUUGCAUCGACCAAAUGCUGGCUAGGUACCUACAUUGUAUACAUACAUAUGUGUGGAAAUAGUUUCAACUGCAUAAGUGUGUAGAUAUGUAUGCAGUUAAACAAAAGAAAGUGAAGUGCAAGUACCUUUGUACAAAGCGCAGCUGCAACGACGUACAUGUGUACAUACGUAUGUAGGUUGCUGUACAAAAGACGUCUUGAAGCAUCGGCAGCUACAUUUAAACAAAUAUAUAUAUUUUAAUACAUAAAUUAUUUAUUUUUAGUUAUUCAAAUUUUUUUAAUUUUUCGUUUAGAUUGUUUCUAUCGGAGAGUUAUUGGAUGUAGCCCAUAGCCAUUACAAAAUGCUGCAUUGGAAAGAUGAUAACAAAGAUGAAGGGAAAGAUGCCUACAAACGUCUCGAUUCAGUGGAGUCAUCAUAGGAGCAGUAAAUGGUGUUCGGUGAUUCUGCCAAUUUAAUAUGAAGUGUCCGACAAACGCCAGCAGUUACUUGAAAUCAACUUUUUAAAAGAUCUAUAUAUAAGUCGUAAAAACGCAAUCAAAUUUUGCAAAGUUGUAACGAAACCGAUUUUUUGUGAACCAAUGUAAAUGAUUUGCAACUGUUAAUAUAUAUCAAAAGAAGGGUAAAUCGAUUACCUUUCUUUUGAUUGUAAU